This 490-nucleotide ribosomal RNA is filed under the name uncultured bacterium. Its description in RNAcentral is "partial 16S ribosomal RNA". It matches the Rfam family "Bacterial small subunit ribosomal RNA", at positions 29 to 507 of the family's 1533-position model. The record is from RNAcentral.
AGUGAACGCUGGCGGUAGGCCUAACGCAUGCAAGUCGAACGGCAGCACAGGAGAGCUUGCUCUCUAGGUGGCGAGUGGCGGACGGGUGAGGAAUACAUCGGAAUCUGCCCAGUCGUGGGGGAUAACGUAGGGAAACUUACGCUAAUACCGCAUACGACCUUCGGGUGAAAGAGGGGGAUCGCAAGACCUCUCGCGAUUGGAUGAGCCGAUGUCGGAUUAGCUAGUUAGCGGGGUAAUGGCCCACCAAGGCGACGAUCCGUAGCUGGUCUGAGAGGAUGAUCAGCCACACUGGAACUGAGACACGGUCCAGACUCCUACGGGAGGCAGCAGUGGGGAAUAUUGGACAAUGGGCGCAAGCCUGAUCCAGCCAUACCGCGUGGGUGAAGAAGGCCUUCGGGUUGUAAAGCCCUUUUGUUGGGAAAGAAAUCUUUCAGGCUAAUACCCUGGGAGGAUGACGGUACCCAAAGAAUAAGCACCGGCUAACUUCGUG